This 431-nucleotide ribosomal RNA is filed under the name uncultured bacterium. RNAcentral's name for it is "partial 16S ribosomal RNA". It matches the Rfam family "Bacterial small subunit ribosomal RNA", at positions 29 to 507 of the family's 1533-position model. The record is from RNAcentral.
AACGAACGCUGGCGGCAGGCCUAACACAUGCAAGUCGAGCGCCCCGCCAGGGGAGCGGCGGACGGGUGAGUAACGCGUGGGAAUAUGCCCUUUGCUACGGAAUAGUCUCGGGAAACUGGGGGUAAUACCGUAUACGCCCUUUGGGGGAAAGAUUUAUCGGCGAAGGAUUAGCCCGCGUUGGAUUAGGUAGUUGGUGGGGUAAUGGCCUACCAAGCCGACGAUCCAUAGCUGGUUUGAGAGGAUGAUCAGCCACACUGGGACUGAGACACGGCCCAGACUCCUACGGGAGGCAGCAGUGGGGAAUCUUAGACAAUGGGGGCAACCCUGAUCUAGCCAUGCAGCGUGAGUGAUGAAGGCCUUAGGGUUGUAAAGCUCUUUCAGCUGGGAAGAUAAUGACGGUACCAGCAGAAGAAGCCCCGGCUAACUCCGUG